AGUGAACGCUGGCGGUAGGCCUAACACAUGCAAGUCGAACGGCAGCACAGGAGAGCUUGCUCUCUGGGUGGCGAGUGGCGGACGGGUGAGGAAUACAUCGGAAUCUACUCUGUCGUGGGGGAUAACGUAGGGAAACUUACGCUAAUACCGCAUACGACCUACGGGUGAAAGCAGGGGACCUUCGGGCCUUGCGCGAUUGAAUGAGCCGAUGUCGGAUUAGCUAGUUGGCGGGGUAAAGGCCCACCAAGGCGACGAUCCGUAGCUGGUCUGGGAGGAUGAUCAGCCACACUGGAACUGAGACACGGUCCAGACUCCUACGGGAGGCAGCAGUGGGGAAUAUUGGACAAUGGGCGCAAGCCUGAUCCAGCCAUGCCGCGUGGGUGAAGAAGGCCUUCGGGUUGUAAAGCCCUUUUGUUGGGAAAGAAAUCCAGCUGGCUAAUACCCGGUUGGGAUGACGGUACCCAAAGAAUAAGCACCGGCUAACUUCGUGCCAGCCGCCGCAGUAA
This 506-nucleotide ribosomal RNA is filed under the name uncultured bacterium. RNAcentral's name for it is "partial 16S ribosomal RNA". It matches the Rfam family "Bacterial small subunit ribosomal RNA", at positions 29 to 523 of the family's 1533-position model. The record is from RNAcentral.